GCACAAGCGGUGGAGCAUGUGGUUCAAUUCGACGCAACGCGAAGAACCUUACCCAGGCUCGAACGGCAACUGACAUCCGGCGAAAGCCGGCUCCCGCAAGGGCAGUUGUCGAGGUGCUGCAUGGCUGUCGUCAGCUCGUGUCGUGAGAUGUUGGGUUAAGUCCUGCAACGAGCGCAACCCUUGUCCGCUGUUGCCAUCAGGUUAAGCUGGGCACUCUGCGGAGACUGCCGGUGAUAAACCGGAGGAAGGUGGGGAUGACGUCAAGUCAGCAUGGCCUUUAUGUCUGGGGCUACACACGUGCUACAAUGGCAGGUACAAACCGUCGCGAUGCCGCGAGGUGGAGCUAAUCGGAGAAAACCUGUCUCAGUUCGGAUUGCAGGCUGCAACUCGCCUGCAUGAAGUUGGAAUCGCUAGUAAUCGCGGAUCAGCACGCCGCGGUGAAUACGUUCCCGGGC
This 455-nucleotide ribosomal RNA is filed under the name uncultured bacterium. Its description in RNAcentral is "bacterial SSU rRNA". It matches the Rfam family "Bacterial small subunit ribosomal RNA", at positions 923 to 1379 of the family's 1533-position model. The record is from RNAcentral.